GGGCAGUAUUCAUGUCAAAGAAUUCUUGGAGUUAAUAAUACUUGAUGAAAUAGUCGAGGGGUGUGCAAGUUGGUCCAAACAGCACCAUCAAUACCUCAUAUAAAAAGAAGUUACAUUUAUAGAAGCACAACCCAGAAGAUGCUAAGGUCUAGGAUGUGAUGAGGUGGAACAAAGAUGAAAGUCGUUGCUUACUAUUUCUGGUCAGGCGCUUUUCUAGAUCUGUGGGCCAUUCUGCACAAGCAUAUCGUUGUGAACCUGUGAUUCGAGUGUCAAACAAUAUUACACAUUUAGGCCGUCAAAAGGAUGGUGUAAAACCUAGCCAGCUAUUGUCUUUACCUCCAUUUCCUGGCUGUCCUUUGCCAGGAAAGAAAGUGGCCACCGGUCCUGACCAACCAUCUUGUCAUGUUACUGCCAUUAGCUGGAUCAAAUACUA
Molecule: unclassified non-coding RNA, 433 nt
Filed under: Hevea brasiliensis (rubber tree)
Lineage: Eukaryota; Viridiplantae; Streptophyta; Magnoliopsida; Malpighiales; Euphorbiaceae
Source: RNAcentral